Molecule: ribosomal RNA, 301 nt
Filed under: uncultured bacterium
Lineage: Bacteria
Description: partial 16S ribosomal RNA
Rfam family: Bacterial small subunit ribosomal RNA
Source: RNAcentral
CAGCCGCCGCGGUAAUACAGAGGGUGCAAGCGUUAAUCGGAAUUACUGGGCGUAAAGCGCGCGUAGGUGGUUUGUUAAGUUGGAUGUGAAAUCCCCGGGCUCAACCUGGGAACUGCAUCCAAAACUGGCAGGCUAGAGUAGGGCAGAGGGUGGUGGAAUUUCCUGUGUAGCGGUGAAAUGCGUAGAUAUAGGAAGGAACACCAGUGGCGAAGGCGACCACCUGGGCUCAUACUGACACUGAGGUGCGAAAGCGUGGGGAGCAAACAGGAUUAGAUACCCCCGUAGUCCCUGUCUCUUAUAU